UCCCUGGUGGUCCAGUGGCUAAGACUGCACACUACUAAUGCAGAGGACCCAGGUUCAAUCCCUGGUCAGGGUA
RNAcentral lists this transfer RNA (73 nucleotides) under Bos taurus (domestic cattle). It matches the Rfam family "tRNA". From Rfam's summary of the family: Transfer RNA (tRNA) molecules are approximately 80 nucleotides in length. Their secondary structure includes four short double-helical elements and three loops (D, anti-codon, and T loops). Further hydrogen bonds mediate the characteristic L-shaped molecular structure. tRNAs have two regions of fundamental functional importance: the anti-codon, which is responsible for specific mRNA codon recognition, and the 3' end, to which the tRNAs corresponding amino acid is attached (by aminoacyl-tRNA synthetases). tRNAs cope with the degeneracy of the genetic code in two manners: having more than one tRNA (with a specific anti-codon) for a particular amino acid; and 'wobble' base-pairing, i.e. permitting non-standard base-pairing at the 3rd anti-codon position. Lineage: Eukaryota; Metazoa; Chordata; Mammalia; Artiodactyla; Bovidae. RNAcentral also lists the same sequence under 5 other names. The record is from Rfam by way of RNAcentral.